GAAGCACUUGGAUAUGAUCUGUGUAAGACACAGAUCCAACCAACAUUGAGCAUAAACAGAUCUCACAUCUGAAUUAAAAGACAAACGAACUCGAUCUCUAAUGAGCUUGUGAGACACAAAGGGUCGACAGAUCGCCCUUCUCUGAUAAAGGCAUCGAGUUCAUUCUCCGACGAGCUUAGGUAACUCGAGGAGCAGGUAAAGAAUCUUGUUCCUAGAAAACAACGUCGAAUGGGCCGAUACGCUUUCUUAAAAGCAUUGAUGUCGAUCUAAGAUAAGCUCGAUCUUCGAAAGAGCGAUGAAUAACAAUCUACCCACUUCUUUAUGAAAAAUAACCGUCCACUGCAGAAGUAGCCCGGCCUCAAGUGAUCUCGACCUACUUUGAUCACAUCCUUAGAAGAAGCGAAUACAUUUUAUCUAUAUCAUAUGAAAGAAGCUCCCAACCAUGGAAACAUUUCCUCCCGACAUAGGAAUCAUUUUCUGUAAAAGAAAAUGACAGAUAUGGACAAGCCAUACAGAACUAUUUAGAGAUCUCAUGUUGUUUAAACAAUAUUUCCUUUAAAAAAACAAGACCAAAAAUGUCAGGAAGCGUAAUAUGCUUUGCGACGGCUUAGUGUGAGUUGAACACGAAUAUCGAGUCAAUAAUCCACAACCACCU
RNAcentral lists this long non-coding RNA (655 nucleotides) under Brassica napus (rape). RNAcentral describes it as "long non-coding RNA (BNAP_LNC011290)". Lineage: Eukaryota; Viridiplantae; Streptophyta; Magnoliopsida; Brassicales; Brassicaceae. The record is from RNAcentral.